GGCAGGAUAUCUCAGUUGGUUAGAGGGAUCGGUUCAUAUCCGAUAGGUCGCGGGUUCGAGCCCCGCUCCUGCUACCA
Molecule: transfer RNA, 77 nt
Filed under: Mycoplasma wenyonii
Lineage: Bacteria; Bacillati; Mycoplasmatota; Mollicutes; Mycoplasmatales; Mycoplasmataceae
Also listed under: 4 other names
Description: tRNA-Met
Rfam family: tRNA
About the family: Transfer RNA (tRNA) molecules are approximately 80 nucleotides in length. Their secondary structure includes four short double-helical elements and three loops (D, anti-codon, and T loops).
Source: RNAcentral